Molecule: transfer RNA, 72 nt
Organism: Camelus ferus (Wild Bactrian camel)
Lineage: Eukaryota; Metazoa; Chordata; Mammalia; Artiodactyla; Camelidae
Rfam family: tRNA
About the family: Transfer RNA (tRNA) molecules are approximately 80 nucleotides in length. Their secondary structure includes four short double-helical elements and three loops (D, anti-codon, and T loops).
Source: Rfam
GAGGGUAUAGGUCAGCGGUAAAGCCCAUGCCUAGCAUGCACGAGGUCCUGAGUUCAAUCCCCAGUACCUCCA